This 489-nucleotide ribosomal RNA is filed under the name uncultured bacterium. RNAcentral's name for it is "partial 16S ribosomal RNA". It matches the Rfam family "Bacterial small subunit ribosomal RNA", at positions 30 to 507 of the family's 1533-position model. The record is from RNAcentral.
AUUGAACGCUGGCGGCAGGCCUAACACAUGCAAGUCGAAUGGUAACAGGAAACAGCUUGCUGUUUCGCUGACGAGUGGCGGACGGGUGAGUAAUGUCUGGGAAACUGCCUGAUGGAGGGGGAUAACUACUGGAAACGGUAGCUAAUACCGCAUAACGUCGCAAGACCAAAGAGGGGGACCUUCGGGCCUCUUGCCAUCAGAUGUGCCCAGAUGGGAUUAGCUAGUAGGUGGGGAACGGCUCACCUAGGCGACGAUCCCUAGCUGGUCUGAGAGGAUGACCAGCCACACUGGAACUGAGACACGGUCCAGACUCCUACGGGAGGCAGCAGUGGGGAAUAUUGCACAAUGGGCGCAAGCCUGAUGCAGCCAUGCCGCGUGUAUGAAGAAGGCCUUCGGGUUGUAAAGUACUUUCAGCGGGGAGGAAGGGAGUAAAGUUAAUACCUUUGCUCAUUGACGUUACCCGCAGAAGAAGCACCGGCUAACUCCGUG